CCUACGGGUGGCAGCAGUGAGGAAUAUUGGUCAAUGGUCGGAAGCCUGAACCAGCCAAGUCGCGUGAGGGAAUAAGGCCCUACGGGUCGUAAACCUCUUUUGCCGGGGAGCAAGGGCGGGGACGUGUCCCUGCCCGGGUAGUACCCGGAGACAACGCCUCGCCUAACUCCGUGCCAGCAGCCGCGGUAAUACGGAGGAUGCGACGGUUAUCCGGAUUUAUUGGUUUUAAGGGGUGCGUGGUGGGGCUUUUAAGUCAGCGGUAAAAAUUCGGGGCUCAACCCCGUCCGGCCGUUGAAACUGGGGGCAUGGAGGGGGCGAGAAGAAGGCGGAAUGCGUGGUGUAGCGGUGAAAUGCAUAGAUAUCACGCAGAACCCCGAUUGCGAAGGCAGCCUGCCGGCGCCCUACUGACGCUGAGGCACGAAAGUGCGGGGAUCGAACAGGAUUAGAUACCCCUGUAGUC
Molecule: ribosomal RNA, 460 nt
Filed under: uncultured bacterium
Lineage: Bacteria
Description: partial 16S ribosomal RNA
Rfam family: Bacterial small subunit ribosomal RNA
Source: RNAcentral